Long non-coding RNA from Brassica rapa (field mustard), 1148 nucleotides. RefSeq lists it as uncharacterized. NCBI's taxonomy places the organism in Eukaryota, Viridiplantae, Streptophyta, Magnoliopsida, Brassicales, Brassicaceae. The record is from RefSeq and is a predicted model, not a curated record.
UAUAUUCUUUCUUACUUUCUACUCUUAAUAUUAUUUUUAGCUGCGAUAUUGGAGACCAUAAACAUUUAUUAUGAGCUUUAAUUUAGAAAAACCUUAACCAAUUUGGAAAUCUAUGUCUAUGUAUGUUUAUCUUCAAAAAAUUUAGAGAACAAGACCAAUAUUGUUUCACUAAAUUAUGUUCAGAACCAGCCAUGUUCUUAAGUAUGUGCAACUAAAUUUAAUGGAAUGUGUGUAACGAUCCGAAUUUCGAUCUCGGAACUCGUUAGCCGGCUAAGACCCAAGCAAUACAUCAAGACUAAAAUGUUUGUUUAUAAAUACCUCAUUUUUCACAUUGUUUUCUCCACCUGCAUCAAAAAGAAAUAAGAAAAGUUAGAGAGAAGAAGAAGUGAAAAAGAGAGAGAGUGAGAGAAAGAAAGAUAGGAACCACUGCAUGCUGCCACCAGAAGUCCUCGCCGGAGCCACCGCACGCCAGGACAUCGUCAAGCUCGUCAUCACCAUCAACCGCAGCUGAGUAUCGUCGGAAACCGCCGCCUCUUAAGCUUUGUUUUCGUCCGUUCAGUAUAUCGGCCAUAUCUUCUUAACCGUUGAGAAUCUCGCGCAUGCAGAGCCACCAUCGUGUUCCUCUCGUCGAGACGAAGCCGUAGCCACCGACCACGCCGCAAUCGGAGUCCGGACGAAGCCGCUAGAGCAUCCGGAAGUUUCGCCUCUGUGCGCGCGUGAGUUACACGCGCCGCCGCCAGAAAUCGUCUCCGCCGCCAGACCACCACCGGAACGCCGUCGCUGUUGCCGUGCUCCGCCUUCUGUCGCCGCCGUCUUCCGCCGUCACCACCGAUUUGGAGUCUAUUUGAGCAUCUGGAGUUCAUAGAUACCACAUUUCCCUAUUGCUAAGGUGAGACCGACGAGCAGGAGUGAUUAUCGGACCGGUGCUAUUGGACUUUUGGGCUUCUAUCGCUUUUAUCGUUAUCGGGAUUUUAGGCCUUUGGGCUUUUAUCGUUUAUGUUAUUUCCUAUUUCAGACUUACGAAUUUAUGUUGUCUUUAUAUUUCGGACUUAUACCGUUAUCUAUAUUUCGGAUGUUAUUUUAUAUUAUGGAUUUACAGCGUGGACGUUGACUUUUAUAUUUAUAAAUGAAGAUUUCAGAAACUAUUA